Long non-coding RNA from Myotis davidii, 175 nucleotides. RefSeq lists it as uncharacterized. NCBI's taxonomy places the organism in Eukaryota, Metazoa, Chordata, Mammalia, Chiroptera, Vespertilionidae. The record is from RefSeq and is a predicted model, not a curated record. The transcript is spliced from 2 exons.
UAUUUUAGUCUGAUGCCAAUGCAAGUUUCUUAAGAGCGGCUCGAGCUGGACACUUGGAAAAGGCCCUUGACUACAUAAAAAACGGAGUUGACAUCAACAUUUGCAAUCAGAAUGGGUUGAAUGCGCUCCAUCUUGCCUCCAAAGAAGGCCACGUAGAAGUUGUUUCUGAACUGCU